CAUGCCGUAAACGAUGAUUACUAGGUGUGGGUGGUCUGACCCCAUCCGUGCCGGAGUUAACACAAUAAGUAAUCCACCUGGGGAGUACGACCGCAAGGUUGAAACUCAAAGGAAUUGACGGGGGCCCGCACAAGCAGUGGAGUAUGUGGUUUAAUUCGAAGCAACGCGAAGAACCUUACCAGGUCUUGACAUCCCGAUGACCGCUCUAGAGAUAGAGUUUUCCCUUCGGGGACAUUGGUGACAGGUGG
RNAcentral lists this ribosomal RNA (248 nucleotides) under uncultured bacterium. RNAcentral's name for it is "partial 16S ribosomal RNA". It matches the Rfam family "Bacterial small subunit ribosomal RNA", at positions 796 to 1041 of the family's 1533-position model. The record is from RNAcentral.